GGAGAGGUGGGUGAGUGGCUGAAACCAACGGUUUGCUAAACCGUCAUAGUGCGACAAGUGCUAUCGAGGGUUCGAAUCCCUCCCUCUCCG
This 90-nucleotide transfer RNA is filed under the name Ectothiorhodospiraceae bacterium. Its description in RNAcentral is "tRNA-Ser". It matches the Rfam family "tRNA". From Rfam's summary of the family: Transfer RNA (tRNA) molecules are approximately 80 nucleotides in length. Their secondary structure includes four short double-helical elements and three loops (D, anti-codon, and T loops). Further hydrogen bonds mediate the characteristic L-shaped molecular structure. tRNAs have two regions of fundamental functional importance: the anti-codon, which is responsible for specific mRNA codon recognition, and the 3' end, to which the tRNAs corresponding amino acid is attached (by aminoacyl-tRNA synthetases). tRNAs cope with the degeneracy of the genetic code in two manners: having more than one tRNA (with a specific anti-codon) for a particular amino acid; and 'wobble' base-pairing, i.e. permitting non-standard base-pairing at the 3rd anti-codon position. Lineage: Bacteria; Pseudomonadati; Pseudomonadota; Gammaproteobacteria; Chromatiales; Ectothiorhodospiraceae. The record is from RNAcentral.